GCAUCCAUGGCUGAAUGGUUAAAGCGCCUCAAGUCAACAUUGGCGAAUUCGUAGGUUCAAUUCCUACUGGAUGCA
Non-coding RNA from Erythranthe guttata (spotted monkey flower), 75 nucleotides. NCBI's taxonomy places the organism in Eukaryota, Viridiplantae, Streptophyta, Magnoliopsida, Lamiales, Phrymaceae. The record is from Rfam.